RNAcentral lists this long non-coding RNA (25406 nucleotides) under Malus domestica (apple). RNAcentral describes it as "long non-coding RNA (MDOM_LNC006398)". The record is from RNAcentral. Lineage: Eukaryota; Viridiplantae; Streptophyta; Magnoliopsida; Rosales; Rosaceae.
AAGAAAUCCAAAGCAGCAAGAAGUUGGGAUUUGACGUUGAAAUUUUUGUCAUCAAGUUCCCAACUGAGGAAGUAGGGUUGCCUCAAGGAUGUGAAAAUGCUAACCUAGCUACCACCCGUGAGAUGAAGGAAAAGUUCAUCAAAGCCACCUUCCUUCUUCAACCACAAAUUGAGCAGAUUUUAGACGAACACCGCCCUCAUUGCCUUGUUGCAGACGUUUUCUUUCCUUGGGCAACUGAUGUUGCUGCCAAGUUUGGUGUUCCAAGGAUCAUAUUUCAUGGCAUCGGUUUUUUCGCUAUGUGUGCAUCUCUUAGUGUGGCGUUGUACGAGCCUCACGCGAAGCUGUCUUCUGAUUCAGAAGUUUUUACUAUUCCUAAUUUUCCAGUUGAGAUCAAGCUGACAAGAAGCCAAGUGCCGACUUUUCCCAAGCAUAGUUCUGAAUUCACCAAGUUGUUUAAAGAGGCGAGGGAGAUCGAGGAAAAGAGCUAUGGGUUCAUUGUUAACAGCUUUUAUGAACUUGAACCGGCUUUUGCAGAUCAUUACAGGACAGUGUUUGGGAGGAAGGCAUGGCAUAUAGGCCCGCUUUCGUCAGUCAAUAAGGCAGCAGAUGACGAAGCCUCCCUUGAUCAGCACGAGUGCUUGAAUUGGCUUAAUUCUAAGAAACCCAAUUCAGUUGUUUACAUAUGUUUCGGAAGUACAACCAAUUUCAUUGACUCUCAGCUCCUAGAAAUUGCAGCGGGGCUUGAGGCUUCUGGGCAGGAGUUCAUUUGGGUUGUGAAGAGAGAAAAGAAUGAUAAAGAAGAGUGGCUCCCCGAAGGGUUUGAGAAGAGAAUGGAAGGUAAAGGACUAAUUAUAAGAGGUUGGGCUCCGCAAGUGCCGAUUCUUGAGCACCAAGCAAUCGGAGCCUUCGUGACUCAUUGUGGGUGGAACUCUAUCCUUGAAGGAGUGUCUGCUGGGGUGCCAAUGAUCACAUGGCCCGUGUCGGCUGAGCAGUUUUACAAUGAGAAGUUGGUGACUGAGGUACUGAAAACCGGGGUUGCUGUUGGUGUUAAACAAUGGGGUACAGUUCUAGAUGUGAAGGAAGACAGUGUGAAGAAGGAAACCGUAGAAAAGGCUGUAAAUCAAGUGAUGGUGAGUGAAGAAGCAGAGGGAAUGAUGGGCAGAGCCAGGGUACUUAGAGAAAUGGCAACGAGGGCUGUUGAAGAAGGUGGUUCAUCUUUCUCAGAUUUAACUUCUCUAAUUCAGGAAUUGGGGUCCCUUGGGGCAUGAACUACUUUCUGCCAAAAUUCCAUCACUUUUUGCGUUUGUAUGUGUUUUUUUUUUUUUUUUGGGCAUCUAUGCGGAAAACUUCGAAUUAAUAGCAAAUGAAAGAAAAAGAGUAUAUUUUUUUUUAUACAAACGAUAUUGUGGUAGGGAAAUCAAAUUCAAAGAAUAUUAUCAUAGAUUCAUAACAUGGUGGAUUAAUUCCAUAAGUCAAAGUAUGUUUUCUCCUAAAAAAUCAAAGCAAAAAAUGAUCCAAACGAAUCAUUUCUUCAAGACUGAAAGUAAAUACUAUGUUUUUAUAAGCUCCACCAGCCUUUCCCGUCCCAAAUUAGGGUGGAAGAAAUUAAAAAAAAAAAUCAUUGAUGUAAAAAGAUUUAGACUACAAAAUUUCAAAGAUCAAUUUUGUCAAAUUUGAUAGACUAAAUUAUUGUAUCCCAUGACAUUGUGAGGUUAAGCCCACCAUCUCUCUUUAGUGUAGAUAAUAUCGUUUGUUUAAAAAAUAAAAUAAUUGUAUCCCAUGGAAAAUAGAAGUCUAAAAACAUUUUUUUUAAGCUCAGUAUGCUUGUCUAUCAAGUUACAAGUACUGAUAUAUACCAACUCUAUCAUCCAGUUUCUUCGGUUAAUCUUUUGAAGGUUGUUUACUAAUUUGUUUGAAAUCGGGUUAAGAGUGAUGAUGAUUUCAUAUAAGUUGCUUACAAAUUCAAUCAUGAAUUGGAAUAGAAAUCAAUUGAUUACUAAACUAUCCUUGGUCUAAAUAAAUUAUUUUAAGUGAUAAUUAAGAAAAUUGUUGUGGUAUGAAUUUACUGAGGGAAAAGAGAGGGAAAAGUGAUUGUAGUACUAGAUUGUCGUGACCCAGUAGAGAGAAAAGUGAUUUACACCUUGUCUGGAGUAUUGACCUUGUCAGGGGAUUCCAACAGGGCAAGGAAGGCCUAUGUCUGGGUGUCAUGUUCGGCAGUGUCAUAUUCCUACUCUGUUGGGACUACGGACCGACCAGUGAAGACGGAAAGAUUAUUGGGAUAGCCUAUUGUGUUCAACGAAGAAGAUGGGUUUGGAGUCCUGCAACCCUAUGAUGACUCCCUGGGCAUCUCGACCGAGAUCGCCAAUUGUGAGGUCACUCGGGUAUUCAUCAACAAUGGUAGAUCGACGAACAUGAUUUUUCUCUCCUCGUUUGAUCAUCUAGGGGUCAAUCGGGAUCUCUUGUGGAGGAAUGUGGCUCCACUUGUAGCUUUCAAAGAUAGUUUGAUACACCCAAUUGGGGAGAUGAGAUGAAUGUCACUCUAUCCAUUGGGAGCCACCUCAAGAGAGCAAGCCUGAUGACCAGAUUUAUAAUUGUAGAUUGCCCCUCAUCCUACAAUGUGAUACUAAGACGACCAUUUCUUACGGAAAUGGCUGUCACAAUCAACUCGAGGAUGCUAGUGAUGAAGUUUCCGACUCCGAUAGGGGUAGGAACUGUCAUAGGUGAUCAAACAUCGGCGAGAGUAUGUUAUGCCUCAGUAGUAAAGGUAAAGACCAAAGUGGCGACCGAGCAUUUUGUGAGAACGCUCGGAGGAUCACCUGCACCAGGCCCCAGUAGUUGUUGAACGAUCCGACUGCUUUACCGAGUCGGACGCUCGACCCCGAAGUACUACCUGGCAAUGAAAGCGCGGUGAUUUGCAGGGGAAGACCCAGUUUGAAGCGUGCAAGUUCGAGCAGUUAGGAAUACUUAUCAAUAACAAAACUUUACAAGUAAAGAUUCUCACUAGCCUGUAUGGAGAAUAACACCCCAGGAGGAGGGACAAAUCCUUAAAGGAAGUUCCAGAGAUUUUUUUGUGGCGACCAUGAUAUGAUACUAAGUGCUCGGAAUAGGGGACGACACAGCUUUCCAUUAUUCCACCCAUAAAAAAAUGAUAAAAAUGAAAUAUAUAUUUAUGUGGCUAUCUUCAAGGGAGGAGGAUUUUCUCCCCUCCUAAUCUCUCUCUCUUUCCAUCCCUUCCUAUUUGAACGGUUACGGUUUAGCUACGUCAACAUCUUAUAUUGAUUUUUUUAUAGAGACAAUAAGACAAAAAACAAUGUGAGAGGAGAGGAGAGAAUCCUACUCCAUCUUCAAGUGGCAUGUUUGGAAAAAGUUUAUUACAAUGUUUAUGUUUUCUAUAUUCUAUUAUUAAAAUGUACUAUCAAGAAAAUUUUAUUUAAAAGAAAGACCAUAUUAACAUAUUAUAAUAAAUAGUUCGAAACAGAUUGAGUUCACUAUUGAAUUUGAACUUUUUUUACACUUGCUCAAGCUUGGCACGUACGAGAAGCAAGUUAAACUUAAACAUAAUGGUGCUUUUCGGUUUGAGUCAACUCAUUUACAAUUCUAUAUCCAUUCGACUUUAUCAAAUAUAGGACUAAAGCUUGUUUUAUUUAUUUAUUAUUAGUCGAUUUUCAUGCUGCGUCGUUUAAGAAUUCAAUCACCAGAGAUACAAACUUUUAAUAGAUCUUAAUCACCAAAUACCUUGGUAAUCUUCUUUUUAGGGAAAUAUAAGGGCUUAAAUUAAAGAGCUAGGGUGGCUACGAUAGAACCCGACAAUGAGUUUACGAAGGCUUCGAGUAGUGUGGGAGAGGCUAAUCACUAGACUGCUCUGGAAUAGGUGAAUCGUUGUGUCAUUUUGGGGUACGGUCAGUUCACCGGGAGGAUCACCCUCCCAAUUCGAAGUUUUUUCCUGUAAGUUUCAACCUUGUUGACUAUGACAACAGUCACGACUAUAAAUAAAUUCGUGACUAUGGCAGGACGGUACGCUCUACUCAUGUCACAUCACCAUUCCUAGAUAAGGGCAAUGGAAUGAGAAAUUUAUGAUUGAGACGGGAACAUGGGUGAUACACCACGUGUUUUUAUGUAACUAGUGAAUUUUUUUAUUUUUUAAGUUAUUAACUUUUUAACACAUAUGUUAUACCAUAUAUUGGGCCUCAGUAUUUGGACUUCAUCACUUAGCCCAUGAUUCAUGUAAGAGGGGAGGAAACCCUUAUUCUAUAAAAGGGCUCCCUCACACUCACUAAGGGGGGAUAAGGGAAACAGACAGAGGGGAAAGGGGAGAGUAAACAAAAUAGCAAAGAGAGCAAACACUGCCUCUAUUAGACCUGUAAAUGGGUCAGGUUUAUCGGGUUUGGAUCAUGUUUAAUCUAACCCAUUAAGUUAACAGGUCACCCGAACCUAACCCGUUAAGCUAACGGGUCAUCCGUUUCACACCCGUUAACAUCCGUUAACAAUUAUUAUUAUUAUUAUUAUUUUUUUUGCAUAGAAUUUAUUUUUUGUUGUUAAGACUUUACUGAAAUUACUAAAACAUCCUCAACUAACGAGUGCUAACGGGUUGACCCAAAGUGACCCGUUAUUUAACGGGUUCACCCGUUAGCGACCCGACUCGUUAAGCAUCCACCUAAAUACUAAUAUUAAUGGGUCGGGUCCAAAAUGCCAGGUCUAGCGACUAUAGCCUCCAUGUAUAUUCAACAUUCAUUUACAUAGUGAAACGGAAUCAACACCAGUGUGGACGUAGCCUCAACUUGAGGUGGACCACGAUAUAUCUUUGUGUUCUUGUGCGUUUGUGUGAUUCAUGGUCGAAUUUACGUUGGUCCAAGAUCGACCCGAUUUUGUGCAUCAACAUUUGACGCCAUUAGUGGGAAACGACACGAAAAACUAUGUCGAUUCUCUCUACUUUUUUCAUCUCACCAUCGUGAAACCCUCACAACCUCCACCGUGAAUCUGUAGAAACCCAAGAACCAAACACUUGCACAAUCACUGCAAAACCCAUGUCUUCCGCUCCAGCUCCCGGUCACUGUAGCAGCGAUGGAAACACAACAGAAACUCGCUCUUUUAAUCAAAGGUAUUUUGCUUCCCUCAACAUAAGGUUAUUCUUUCUUUUAUGAAUUGCAGACUAACCAUUCCACAAUUUUUUGCUUGUUGAUUAUUAUGGUGUAUUUUUUUGUUUUAUUUUUGUGUGUAGCCAUCACCACUCAACCUAGAGACGCCAGCGCUGAAAACUGGCCGAAGGCAUUUCUCUAAAACUGCCGCAUAACCAAUGCCUGGAAAACCAACAAAGAAGCUAAGUCUUCUUCUAAUUCACCAACUUGUUUAUUAUUUCAUAUUUUAUUAUUAUGUUUGUCACAUGAGUGCGGCACUCAUAAAACUUUCACUAAUAUAUAUAUAUAUAUAUAUAUAUAUAUAUAUAUAUAUAUAUAUAUAUAUAUAGGUUGUGUGCCCUAUUGUCAUUAUAAUAAGGUUACAUGAUUACUUUUAUGUGCUUAUUAUGUCGGGUCACUUUGCCUUAGAUUCUUACUUUUACUAUUUUAUUAUUAUUAUUGUUUGUGAUGUUUAUCAUUACUUUGAUCACUACCAUAAAACGUGGCAAAGUCUGUACAUCCACUACACCAUUUACAUUAUUGAAUUGUUUUAUCACAUCACAUACCAUUAUCAUUCCUAUCAUUAUUUUAUUAUUAAGUGAUAUUUAUCACAUGAUCAUUAUCAACAACGUGUCAAAGCACAUCACACAGUUUUAUUAUUUAAAGUUGUGGUGAUGUAUCACUGGCUCCUGCACACUGCAUAAUACAUAUAUGUGUGUUUAAAUAUUUUAUUAUAAUGAUGAUAGUCUUUCGGCACAUCACUAUUCCUUUUCCAUGUGACAUAAUCGGACAUCACAUCCCUUCAUUUUGUGGUAUUCACCUCAUAAUUAUCACAUGUAUUGGCUCAUAUUUCACUACCCACAUCACACAUAUUUAUAUAGCCGGUUACUUGUGCAAAUAUUUAUUCAUUGCCUAGUGAUUCAGUGAUUGCCUUUUAACUAUGUCACUUGUGCAACAUGUGAUUUAUCACACAAUUUAAUAAAUUAUUUAUUUGUAGUAGGCACAUGGUACAAUAUUUUGCCUUGCCAAACUAUGUCAAUUUGAUUUAUUCAUUAUACGUUCAUACUUAUACUGUCAUUUAUUGUCAGGAAUUAUUGAGCAGCUAGCUCUAUUGAUCAACAUUCUCAUUGAUUAAAGAAGCCUACCAACUUAUAAACUGAUGAGCCACAUUCUUAUAGUGACAAAGAUUUAGUCUGAAUAGUAAUCUCUUGUCUGACCAGACACCCACUUGCUCGGACACUGGCUCAUUUGGACACCUAUAUGUUUGGACACCCGCGAGCUUGGACACCCAUUAGUUCGGGCACUUACGAGACUGGACACCCUUAAGCUCGAACCCCGACUCACGACCUCAAUUUGUGGACCCAACUCACGGACUCUACGGAUGGCCCCGACUCAAAGGCCCGACUUGUGGACCCAACUCACGGACCCUACGGAUGGCCUCGACUCAAAGACCCGACCUGUGGACCCAAUCCGCGAACCCGCCACAUAGAUCCAAUAUGCGAACCCGACAAGCGGACUCGAGUCAUGUUGAGAGUUAACUCAUAUUGAGUACAGGCUGACGUUGAGUGCAUACUCGCAACGAGGAACGCCACGAGCCAAGCUACCAUGCAACGAGCACCGCCUCCAGCUGAGCAACUGCCUCGCCACGAGCAUUGCCUCUAGCCAAGCAACCUCGCAACGUGUGAUACCUCUAGCUGAGUAUUACUUUACGUUAAGCAUUGCCUCAUGCCAAGUACUGGUUCAGAACAACAUCUAGUCACUUUGGCCCGCACACGGAUUAAAUUUGAAGUCUUCAGCCAAAAGAUUCACCCGACACAUAGACCCAUAUACAAACCUAACAAGCGGAUCAGAAUCAUGUCGAGAAUUAACUCAUAAUGAGCUCACGUUGAUGUCGAGUGCAUACUCUCAAUGAAGAAUGCCACAAGCCGAGUCGCCUUGCAACGAGCACCGCCUCCAGCCGAACAAUCGCCUCGCUGUGAACAUUGCCUCUAGCCAAGCAGCCUCGCAAUGUGUGCUACCUCUAGUUGAGUAUUGCUUCACAUUAAGCACCGUCUCAUGUCGAGUACUAGUUCUGGACGACAUUUAAUCACUUCGGCCCGCACAUGGAUUGGAUUUGAAGUCUCCAGCCAAAAGACUCUCUUGACUGAAGACUUGGGGGAUUCCUGUUAUACCAUAUAUUGGGCCUCAAUAUUUGGGCUUAAUCACUUAGCCCAUGAUUCACCUACAAAAGCUUCACCUACAAAGCUUCAACAAAUGGAGGGCAACUACAUAUGCCAAAAGCUUCAUACACUCUUGAUCAAGAUAGUGUGAAGCAAAAUCAAUUCAUGGUACCCAACAAAGCUUCAACACAAAAACUUCAUCACAAAAGCUUCACCAACAAAAGCUUCAACAAAUGGAGGGCAACUACAAAUGCCAAAAACUUCACACACUCUUGAUCAAGAUAGUGUGAAGCAAAAUCAAUUUAUGGUGUCAACAAAGCUUCACCACAAAGCUUCACCUACAAAGCUUCAACCUUCAAAGCUUCACUACAAAGCUUCAAUACAAAAGUUUCAACUUCAAAGCUUCACCUACAAAGCUUCAACAUCAAAGCUUCACCUACAAAGCUUCAACUCCAAAGCUUCACCUACAAAAGCUUCAACUCCAAAGCUUCACCUACAAAGCUUCAACAUAAAAGCUUCAACUUCAAAGCUUCACCUACAAAGCUUCAACAUCAAAGCUUCACCUACAAAAGUUUCAACUCCAAAGCUUCACCUACAAAGCUUCAAUACAAAAGCUUCAAUACAAAGCUUCAACUCCAAAGCUUCACCUUCAAAGCUUCAACACCAAAGCUUCACCUUCAAAGCUUCAACACCAAAGCUUCACCUACAAAACUUUAAUAUAUAUAUAUAUUUUCGAAAAUUCGAAAAAAAAAUAUCAAAAAUUCAAAAAUUCAAAAAUUCAAAAAAAUUCGAAAAUUCGAAAAUUCGAAAAUUCGAAAAUUAAAAAAAAAAAAAAAAAAAAAAAAAAAGAGCUUAGGCUUACUCUUCUUUGGGCCUAACAACUUUCAUAACAAAUGUACAUGAAAGAGGAGUUUUGAGCUACCACUUAGAAAGGAAAAUGAUGAAGUUUUGUUACUUUGGAAACUUGGCUACUAGUAAGACACCUCAUUAGUCAACUCCAUCGACCGGAGACUUGAGGGACUCCUACCAUAUGCUACUACACCUCGAUACUUGGAAGUUUCAUGACUACUCAGUGACUUGGAUCUUUCAAGUCUCCAACCGAGAAGUUUUCCUCACUUGAGAAAUUAAGGGAGCACUACCUCAACCUACAUGCUUCACUCACAAAGCUUUAACAUACAAGCUUCAACAAAAGAAAAAAUUCAAAGAACAUAGUGAAGGAGGCCUUGGUGUAUUUAACACAAUACGUUGAAAUGAAGCAAAGCUUAUUUAUUGAUAUCUCCGAUAAGUUACAAAUAUGUACAUAUACAUGAAUCAAAAUAAACAAACAAGAGAGAGCCUUCACAAAGGUUGUUCAUGAGAAGUCUCAGCAGUCGGUAGAGCCUUAGAAAGAGGAGGCAUCAGAGGGUGAUCAUUCGAAGCCUCAGUACUGGGAUCCCAGAAGGAGGAGGCACUGAAAGUUGAUCAUUUGAAGCUUCAUUACGCGGUACAACCCCAGAAGACGAAGGCAAUAAAUGCCUUUGGAACAAACCCACAAACCUCUGAUGAUCAAGUAAAAUAUGACCAUCAGAUUCCUGCAGCUGGUCAAGCUUCAUCUUCAUGUUUGUAGCAUAGUCAUGUGCAAGCCUGUGCAAUUGUUUAUUCUCAUGCUUGAGCCCUCUGAUAUCUUGUUUGACAUUUAUCACUUCAGCCGUCAAUGAUUCAACUUGGCAGGUUUGAGCAAAUAGGCGUUGGGCCAUAUUAGACACAGAACCUGCACACUGAACACUAAAAGCCAGAGAAUCCUUAACAGCCAACUCAUCAGACCGUUUGGAAAAUAGUCUGUUAUCUCUGGGAGUGAGAAGGUUCAUGACCAUCACCGCAGCAGUCAUAUCAUUCUUCAUCACAUAGUCUCUAAUGGUAAGAUGACCAGUAGGAGAUAAGAAGGAUGGGCACCAUAUGUUGUCUUGAUGAGACAUGGCUGCCUUUUCACCAAAGUUCAAGUCAAAACGACGGUCGGAUGGGCCAGACAUUUUCAGAAAUGAUGAAGCAAAAAUGAGACCAAUAAAUCUCUGAAGUACAAAAAUUAGGGGAAAAUUCCUACAAACAAUAACUCUCUGAACGUACUUCUUGCACACAAUUGAUGCCCCUAUAAAAGAAAGGGCAACAUGACCGUUUGCAAAAAUCGAAGAGACACCACUCUUCGGAUUUCGAGAAGUGGAUUUUUCUGAGUAAAAUAUGUUGACAAUCUCCACACGUAACAUCUGCUCCUCGGGUACCACAGAUAACUUGGCCAAAAAUCUUUGACAAUGUUUAGACAUAUAAAUUUUGAAGGUCCAGCUACCCUACCAUUACCCACAAGGGUAAAGGAACAACACUACUGCUUGAUAACUGGAAAGUCCAUAUGUGUGUCAACCUCCGUGCUCCGUGGCAAGGCAGACUGGCAAAAAUGCCCAACCCUUACUCACAUCGAGAAAACACUCCCAACAGGAUUACUUGCUAAAAAAUUGAAGAGGCACCGCUCCCCAAAUCUCAAGAGCCAGACUCCCACCAGGAUUGCUUUCUCAAAAAUCGAAGAGGCACCGCUAUCCGAAUUUCGAGAGCCAAACUCCCACCAGGAUUGCUUUCUCAAAAAUCUAAGAGGCACCGCUAUCCGAAUCUCGAGAGCCAAACUCCUACCAGGAUUGCUUUCUUAAAAAUCAAAGAGGCACCGCUCUCCAAAUCUCGAGAGCCAAACUCCCACCAGGAUCGCUUUUUCAAAAAUCGAAGAGGCACCGCUCUCCGAAUCUCGAGAGCCAGACUUCCACCAGGAUUGCUUUCUAAAAAAUCGAAGAGGCACCGCUAUCCGAAUUUCGAGAGCCAGACUCUCACCAGGAUUGCUUUGUCAAAAAUCGAAGAGGCACCGCUUUCUGAAUCUCGAGAGCUAGAUCCCUAACAGGAUUGCUUGUUCGAAAACCGAAGAGGCACCGCUCUCCAAACUUCGAGAGCCAGAUUUCCUUGGAUAAAAUUUGUCUGCAAUCUUCACACGCAACAUCAGCUUUCCAGAUACCAUAGACCACUUUUUCAAAGUGCUUUGACAAAGUUAAAACACAUGAAGCUUGCAACUCCCACUACAUUGUUAUGACCAAGAAAGGUAAAGGAAUAACAUUACUACUUGUUGUUGGGGAAACUUCCAUAUAUGUCGACCUCCAUCCUCUACGGACAGGCAAACCUGCAAAAAUGCUCAACCCUUCCUCAUAUCUGAGAGGGCACUCCCAACGAAGCCUCUCGAAAUACUCAGCUUUCUUCUCUCCCCAAUAAUACCUCUGCAAACCAGCCACACCAGCGCAAGAGUAUCUCAUAUCAUCAGGGUCAAAAGCAAGAGUAUCCCAUAUCAUGGUUUUUCCCUGUCUUUUCCUUUGCCCUUGUUCUUACCUGAAAGACAAGGAGAAAGAGAGCAAUCAGUCAGCACUUGGAAUCAAGCUUCUAGUCAGGAACUGACUGCCUGGAACCCCUUGCUUGAUUACUUACCUGGCAUUGCUCUCGAGUACUCAUCUUCAACAUCUUGUGCUUCUAGAAAAUAUACCACAUCUGCCUGAAGAACAGAUAGGGCAAGUGAGAAGGAUACAAGGAAGCAUGUGAAGACAAGCGUAACAGAACACGUGCCGAUUGAUCUAUUACUUUAUCAACAACAAAAGUAUCCCAUAUCAUCAAGGUUGAAUGCACUCUUGAUUUGAUGUACUUGUUUUGACCCUCAAAUUCUUGAGUCGGCAUUAUACUUUGGAGGAAACCAUAAAACCCUCUAGCCUAGUUCAAGAAUAAGCAUGUGGAAAGUUACUUCUUCAAAAGCAAAAGUAUCUCAUAUCAUCUCUUCUCCAUGUCUUUUUCUUUGUCCUUGUUGAUGUCUACAGAACAAGGAGAAGAAGAACAAUCAGCCGGAACACGAGAUCAAUCUUUCGAUCUGACUGACUGCUUGGAACUCUGAUUGCUUACUUUGUCUGUCACCUCUUUCAGCAGAUCUCCUCGCUUAGAGACUUGGGGGACUCCUACUAUAGGGUUUGUAUUGCGCUUGACAAAGCCCGAAACUACAAGUAAGCUUCAAGUGAAUUUGAUACAUUACCUUGUGCAUCUCCAUCGGUUAAAGAUACCACCCAUAGAUGGAGGAAAAGUACUUCCAGAGAAAAUGCCACAUCUACUUAUGAGACAGAUAAGGCAAGUAAAACGAUACCACACUUCGGUACUUAGAAGUUUCGUGAUUACUCAGCGGCUUGGAUCUUGCAAGUCCUCAACCGAGGAGCUUCCCUCACUCGAGAACUUAUGGGAGCACUGCUUGUACCAUACUUGACCAAUCCAGAAACUAUCAAGCACCGGUCAAUGUUAUACCGUUAAAGACCCAUAAGAGUUUUCCUCCAACCAGGAGGCCAAUCACAGCGCAACACGUGUCAACACCAAGAGACCAAUCAUAGGGCGACACAUGUCAACAUCAAAGGCCAAUCACGGCAUGACACAUGUCAAGGCCAGAACAAAGCUAGAAACUCUCUUCUAUAAAAGGAGAUCAUUCUCCCACAAUAAUCCCUAAUGUCAUUUGUACUAAAUCAUUCACUAGUACUCACUAAAGGAGAGCUUGAACCUAUGUACUUGUAUAAACCCUUCACAAUUAAUAAGAACUCCUCUAUUUCGUGGACGUAGCCAAUCUGGGUGAACCACGUAUAUCUUGUGUUUGCUUCCAUGUCUCUAUCCAUUUACAUACUUAUCCACACUAGUGAUCGGAGCAAUCUAGCGAAGGUCACAAACUUGACACUUUCUGUUGUACCAAAGUCCUCACUGAUUUUGUGCAUCAACAACAUAAAUCUCAUAAGUUGUAUAGUGACACGUGAUGUACUACAUGAUGUACCAGUUACACUGAAAAAUCUCUCAAAUAGGACAGGUUCACCCAAUAAUUCAAACUCUAAUGUGGACAAAAUGGAUCUACGUACGCAAUGACAUAACAAAGCCAUUUUAGUCUUUGCCACUUGGCAGAACAUGAAUUUCAAAAAAAGAAACAAAUCGUUAAAUCCCAAGCCUCGAAGUAAUAUAUUGAAUCUUUCAGCUCAGUGGUUAGUAUAAACUUUCUUCAUCAAUCAUCACCAUCCAUUAUUGGAGGUUGGAGCUGCUUUGUGCAUUCUGUCAAGUCCUCAUGGAAACUAAAUCCCAUAAGCAGCUUCACAUUUUCUUUUUCUCAUAUAUGGUUCAAGGCCACUUAAUACCCCUUAUAAACAUUGCCAGACUAUUUGCUUCUCGUGGUGUAAAAUCCACCCUAAUAGCCACCCCUCUCAAUGCACAUCUCUUUUCCAAGGCAAUCCAAAGCAGCAAGAAAUUGGGCUUUGAAUGUCAUCAAGUUCUCAACUGAGGAAGUAGGGUUGCCUCAAGGAUGUAAAAAUUGUAACUUAGUUACCACCUGGGAGAUGAACAGAAAGUUCGUCAAUGCUACUUUCCUUCUUCAACCACAAAUUAAACAGAUUUUAGACAAACACCGCCCUCAUUGCCAUGUUGCAGACACGUUCUUUCCUUGGGCAACAGAUGUUGCUGCCAAGUUUGAUAUUCCCAUGAUCUUAUUUCAUGGCAUUGGUUUUUUCGCUUUGUGUGCUUCUCUUAGUGUGGUGUUGUAUGAGCUUCACGCGAAGCUGUCAUCUGAUUCAGAAGUUUUUACUAUUCCAAAUUUUCCAAUGGAGAUCAAGCUGACAAGAAGCCAAAUGCCGACUUUUCCCAAGCAAAGUUCUAAAUUCACUAUGUUGUUUAAAAAGGCGAUGGCGGGCGGGGAAACGAGCUAUGGGUUCAUUGUUAACAGCUUUUAUGAAUUUGAAUCGGCCUUUGCAGAUCAUUACAGGACAAUGAUUGGGAUGAGCAGAUGACGAAGCCUCCAUUGAUUAGCAAAAGUGCUUGAAUUGGCUUAAUUAUAAGAAACCCAAUUCAGUUGUUUACAUAUGUUUCGGAAGUACAACCAAUUUCAUUGACUUUCAGCUCCUAGAAAUUGCAGCGGGGCUUAAGGCUUCUGGGCAGGAGUUCAUUUGGGUUGUGAAGAGAGAAAAGAAUGAUAAAGAAGAGUGGCUCAUCGAAGGGUUUGAGGAGAGACUGGAAGGUAAAGGACUAAUUAUAAGAGGUUGGGCUCCGCAAGUGCCGGUUCUUGAGCACGAAGCAACCGGAGCCUUCGUGACUCACUGUGGGUGGAACUCCAUCCUUGAAGGAGUGUCUGCUGGGGUGCCAAUGAUCACAUGACCCGCAUUGGCUGAGCAGUUUUACAAUGAGAAGUUGGUGACUAAGAUAUUGAAAACUGGGGUUGCUGUUGGUGCAAAACAAUGGGGAAUGGGUACAUUUCUGGAUGUGAAGAAGGAAGCCAGUGUGAAGAGGGAAGCCAUAGAAAAGGUUGUAAAUCAAGUGAUGGUGAGUGAAGAAUGAGAGGGAAUGAGAGGCAGAGCCAGGAUGCUUAGAGAGAUGGCAAUGAGGGCUGUUGAAGAAGGUGGUUCGUUGAUGAGUAGAUUUUAUAUUAUAUAUUUUACCCUAAUCUUAGUAUAUUUUGGUUAAUAUUUUGGGAGAAUUUUGAUACUUUGAAUUGUAUUUUCAAUAUAGGACUUUCGACUUCAUCUAGAGCAAAACAGGACCAAAUGGAUGAAUUUUGGAGUAAUUCCAGUUGGAGGACAUUUGUGAGUCACUUAGCUUGAUCGUAUCAAACUUUGGGAUUUUUCUACCAAGCGGUUAUUUUCUGGCGAUAAAAUAAAGGAGCGAUGUGCAGUGCUGGAAAAUGACGUUUUUGGGCUUAAAUUGCGUUUUUGGACCCCAAGAUGACCUCGGAUGGGUUCGUGGCCUUCUGGAGAAGUGUUCAGAAUAUUCCAAACAUUAGAUCCAGCCAUAUUGGGCCAGUUUUGGAGCAGCUUAUGGGUCCAAAACGUGGCUGUUCAGAUUUUAGGCGAAUUUUACCAUUUAAUUUAGGGUUAUGUUUCCUAUUUUAUUUAAUUAUUAUUUUUAGUUUCCUAGUGGGAAUAAAGAACCUGUUUUUAGGGUUUGUGUUGGGGGGGGGGGCUUGGCAGAUUUAUUGCUUGGUUGUCUACAAUAUUUUUGUACGCUUUAUUUUAAGCAAUUUUGGAGACAGAGAAAAUUGCUAGGGUUUUGGAGAUUUUCUACUUGAAGGUGUUUUCAAUCCUUUUUCUUAAUAAUAAAUAGUUUGAAAUAGUUUGAAAUAGUUUGAGUUCAUUAUUAUAAUAAAUAGUUUGAAAUAGUUUGCGUUCAUUAUUGAAUUUGAACUUUUUUUUAACUCGCUUGAACUUGGCACGUACAAGAAGCAAGUUAAACGUAAACAUAGUGGUGCUAUUUAGUUUGAGUCGACUCAUUUACAAUUCUAUAUCCAUUUGACUUUAUCAAAUAUAGGACUAAGGCUUAUUUUAUUUAUUUAUUGUUAGUCGAUUUUCAUGUUGUAUCGUUUAAGAAUUCAAUCACUAGAGAUACAAACCUUUAAGGCCUCGUUUGACAUACCGUAUAAGGCACCAGAUGGUAUUAAUACUACGAAGUACGGUGUUUGGUAUCUGUUUGUAUUAAAUAAUCACCGGAUAAAACAAUCUGGUCCCACCAAUUUAAUACAGCCUAUACCCGCUUAGUUAUCCUCUCCUAUAUGUUGGUAUAAUUAGUCGGGCGUCCACGUUUCUCCAACCCUAUCUUCUCUAGCGCGUUGUGAACUCCUUAUCAACCACAACCAAGGUACUGCUGCUCUUUCUCCCUCCCUCCAUCCCAACCGCCAACAAAGGCUCCGGUGACAGAGGAGCCCAAGAAGGAAGAAUAGCCAGCCGAAACCCAGGACUCCAUAAGAGAUUUCAUAUCGAUUUCUUCAUUUUCUCCAAUUUUUUGCUUAUGGGUUUUUAUUGAAUUUUUGAUGUAUAUUUCAUAUAUAAAACAGUUACAAGAUCAAACAUAUAUAGAAGAAGAAACAGGAAAGAAAAUGGAGAACAAAAGGUAGAGGACAAUGGCAGCUAAGCAAGCAUAAUGAUGACCUCCACUCUCUCUAACUUAAGCCACUAACUAGCUUUACAAUGAUGAGGGAAUAUUAUCACUUAACUAUGCCUAAAGUAAACAUUAAAUAAGAUACACCAUGACUAAAACAAACAGCUAACACUAACACUAAGACUAACCGAAAGCUGCCGAAAGCUGAGCUGUUAUCCAUCAAAACUAGACAAAAGCUUGCAUUAUUCUUCCAACACUCCCUUUCAAGCUGGAUCUAGGGGAUCCCUUGAGCCAAGCUUGGACAGAAUGCACAGAAACGGAACCGUAGGAAGAGAUUUGGUAAAAAUAUCAGCCAACUGAUCAUGACUGCGAGUAUAGUAGGUGGUUAUGAUUUUGGAUUGAACCUGUGCUCGAAUAUAAUGACAAUCCACUUCAAUAUGCUUCGUUCUCUCGUGGAAGACUGGAUUGGAAGCAAUGUGCAUGGCAGCUUGAUUGUCACAGAACAUAGACAUAGGUUCAUUACUGGGAAAGCCUAGAUCCAACAGAGGCUUUUCAGCCAAAUAAGUUCACACGCAAUGGAGGCCAUAGCUCGAUACUCGGCCUCUGCACUGGAUCGAGCUCUGACAGUUUGCUUCUUGCUGCGCCAUGUUACCAAAUUGCCACUUACAAAGGUGCAAAAACCUGUUGUUGACUUGCGAUCAAGAGAAUUCCCAGCCCAAUCAGCAUUUGUAUAUCCCAUGAUGGCAGUGCUAUCAUUUUUUGUCAUAAGGAGUCCUCGACCAAUAGACCCUUUUAGAUAACGAAGAAUUCUCUUCACAAUUUGCAUAUGAGCUAAUGUAGGAGCAUGCAUAAAUUGACUCACAAUACUCACGGCAUAAGAGAUAUCAGGACGCGUGAUUGUGAGAUAAAUAAGCUUUCCUACAAGUAUUUGAUACUUAGUAAUAUUAGAGAGAGCUUCACUGUGAGCACUAAGUUGUAGCUUGCUAUCCAAAGGAGUACGUGUAGGUUUACUAUCUAUUAAGCCAGAGUCAUUUAAAAGAUCAAGAAUGUAUUUCCUUUGAUUGAGAAGAGGCUUUCCUGUGAAUUUGCAAGCUCAAUACCUAGGAAAUAUUUGAGACGUCCCAAAUCUUUGAUUGCAAAUUUGUUUUGAAGAGCGAGCUUGAGAGAGUGAAUUUCUUCAGCAUUGUCACCUGUCACAAUAAGAUCAUCACCGUAGAUUAAAACGAUUACUUUUCCAACUAAGCCAUCACGAACAAAUAGUGAGGAAUCAACACUAAUUCUUUGAAAGCCAAACUCUUUAAGAAUGGAGCUCAGUUUUGCAUACCAUGCACGUGGAGACUGUUUCAAUCCAUAAAUGGAUUUGUGCAGUUUACAAACCAUGUCAGGGUCAUCUGAUUGAGGAUGUCCGGGUGGCAGUUUCAUGUACACUUCUUCCUCUAAUUCCCCAUGCAAAAAAGCAUUCUUCACAUCCAUUUGAUAAAGAGUUCAAGACUUAUUUACGGCAACUGAUAAUAGAACCCUUAUAGUGCUCAUUUUAGCUACGGGAGCAAAUGUUUCCUUGUAAUCCAAGCCAUAAGUCUACGUAAAUCCACGAGCCACCAAACGAGCUUUAUGCCUUUCAAUCGUCCCAUCUGAGUUGAACUUAGUCUUGUACACCCAAUGGCUGCCAACUGAUUUCUUCCUUUCGAGAAGUUUAACUACACUCCAGGUUCGGUUGUCAUGAAGAGCUUGCAGUUCAUCCCUCAUCGCUUUUUGCCAAAUUUCAAGUUCAUUUGCUUCUUGAAAUGUUUGUGGUUCAUGAGUAUUGUCCAAGGUACUAAGAAAAGAAGUAUGAGAGGGGGAAAACUGCUUAUAGGAAACAAAGUUUGUAAGAAGAUACCUAAAAGUGUAGGUGACAUAAUCAUGUAUUCGAAGUGGAGGUUGUCGAACCUUAUAGGGUUUCGACGAAUUGAAACUUAAGGUUCAAUAUCUAUGGUUUGAGAUGAAGGUAGCUCAUGCAAUAGAGUUGGUGGGUUACGUGAAAUGGGACUUUCUUGAUAGAGAUGAACACUAGGUAAUGGAAACAUGUCACUUAAAAACUCCCCCUGAUCUAAAUCACUUAGUUUCUUGGAGAAGUAGGGCAUGUUUUCAUCAAAUCUCACAUCCCUUGAAACCAUUAUUUUCUUUGUGAUUGGAUUGUAACACUUGUAGCCCUUUUGGGUAGAUGAGUAACCAAAGAAAACACAUUUGGUUGCUCGAGGAUCCAGUUUGUCACGGUGGAGAGAUUGGUUGUGAACAAAGCAAGUGGACCCAAAAACUCUCAAGUGUGAGAGAUCAUUCUGUCUGUCCUUCAACACUUCAUAUGGAGAUUUGAAACUGAGUACUUUACUAGGCAAUCUAUUGAUUAGGUAGGCAACUGUAAGUACUCCUUGUGACCAAAAUUUCUUUGGCACAUUCAUAUGAAACAUGAUUGAUCUUGUCUUCUCAAGAAGGUCUCUAUUCUUUUUCUCAGCAAUCCCAUUUUGUUGGGGUGUGCUAACACAUGUUGUUUGGUGCAGUAUGCCAUGAAUACUAAGAUAUUGAGACAUGUUAUGGGACACAUAUUCAGUGCCAUUGUCGAAUCUUAAUAUAUGAAUUUUUGAUGCUAAAUGAGUACCAACUAGUUUGUGAAAAUCUUGAAAAACAUUUGAAAGUUCACUCUUAAAUUUCAAAAGAUACAACCAAGUCAUCCUUGUAAAAUCAUCAACAAAGGUUACAAAGUAUUUAUAUCCAUCAAAGGACUCUAGUAUUGGACCCCAAAUGUCUGAAUGAAUGAUUUCGAAAGGAUGGCUAGCUCUAGAAGUUGAAGAAUCAAAAGGCAACCUAGAAAACUUAGACAAGUGACAAACAUCACACUUUAACUUGUCCUUACAUAUUUUUGGAAACAAAAAAGGCAUUACUUUAUUAGAAGAAUGUGCCAAACGUUGAUGCCAAAGUUGUUGGUCUUGAAAAACACUUGAACUGACUUGAAAAAACUUGGGAUUCUUAGUGUCUUUAGCCAAGUAGUAAAGCCCAUUCAACAAGAAACCUUCACCAAUCGUUCUCUUGGUGAUAUCCUGAAAAAUGACAUUGUGAGGGGAGAAAAUGACUAGACAGUUUAGAGAAUUGGUGAUAGCUCCUACUGAUAGAAGUUGAAAAGGAAAAGAAGGUAUGUAAAGGGCUGCUGACUCUAUGUGUUUUGACAAUAAGUUGAUUUUUCCUUUUCCUACAGCUGUGGCACCCUUCCCAUUAGCUACUGACAUUUCAGAAAAAUUUGUCAUUUUUGUAAAAUCAUGUAAGUUAUUAAUUUUAUUUGUCAUGUGAUCCGUGGCUCUUGAGUCAAUGAUCCAAUAAUCAUGUUCAUUACUAGCAUUUAGGGCAGUAGAGAAUGCACUGAAAAUACCUGGGAUAUCUUUCUGUGAAACAUGGUCAUGUUUAGCCAGAAAACCAGCAAAAUUUCCAAGUAAAGUUGUGUGAUUCUUCUCUUCAGCUACGAGAGCUUCAUCUCUAUUGUUAAGCACCUGUUUGCUGUGGAGAUAUGCUACAAAAUCAUUGAUUAAUGCAGCAGAAUUGGUAGUGAAAUUCACCAUUCCUUCUGUCGACAAGGUAGUUGCAUGGUUGGCCUUGUAGCUAUUGUUGUUCAGAUAUUUUUGUGUACCCUUUAUCUCUGGACCUUUUGUCUCCUUCAAGAACUUAGGCUUCAAUUUCGGAUGAAGAAUCCAACAUCUGUCUUUAAUAUGGCCAAGAGAAUCACAGUAGCUGCACUUUAAAUCUAGUCUUUUUCCCUUGUAAACUUUGCCUUCAGGACGUUUGUUGCUAGAGACAUAAGCCCUAGUCUCAGAAACGCUGUCUUUAGUCUAUUGAUUCAUGACUUUCCUCCUUACUUCUUCCCUUUGGAUUAUGGCACACACACCAGUGAAGGAAGGGAGUUCAGCAUUCAUUAAGAUGUGACUUCUUAGGUCUUCGAACUCUGGACCUAAGCUUGCCAAGAGUUGAAAAAUCUUGUCUUCUUCUGCUCUCUUGAUCAACACAGUGGCUUCAGUGGUAUGAGGACGAUAAACAUCGAGCUCAUUCCACAUGUUUGUAAGACUGCCAAGGUGUUGAACAAAUGCUUUGCUUCCUUGUUGUAGACUUGCCAGAUUCUUCUUAAGUUGGAAGACAUGGGCAGCAUUAUUUUGAUUUCCAUACAUCUCUUUUACUUGCUUCUAGAGAUGCAUGGAUGACUCGGAAUAACUGAAAAUUUCAGCAAUCCUUCGCUCCAUUGAAUUGAGCAACCAAGACAUGACCAACUGAUCUUUGCACAGCCACGACUCGUAUGUAGAAAAAGUGACUACUGGAGCUUCAAUAGCACCAUUUACAUAGCCAAGCUUUGAUCUUCCUCCAAGUGCAAGAGAUACUGCACGACUCCAGGGAAGGUAGUUGAAUUCAUUCAACAAAACAGAACUGAGAUGUUGAUUAGGAUUGACCUCAAUGUCAGAAAAUGCUAAAGCAUCCAUCGAGCUUUCAGUUUCAGAGAGUUCUUCAGCCAUCUUGGCUUAGAGCAAAAGAAACUUAGCGGAAACGAUUACUAGAGUCAUGAAUUUAGAGUUCCUGCUCUGAUACCAUAUUGAAUUUUUAAUGUAUAUUUCAUAUAUAAAACAGUUACAAGAUCAAACAUAUAUAGAAGAAGAAACAGGAAAGAAAAUGGAGGACAAAAGGUAGAGGACAAUGGCAGCUAAGCAAGCAUAAUGAUGACCUCCACUCUCUCUAACUUAAGCCAUUAACUAGCUUUACAAUGAUGAGGGAAUAUUAUCACUUAACUAUGCCUAAAGUAAACAUUAAAUAAGAGAUGCACCAUGACUAAAACAAACAGCUAACAGUAGCACUAAGACUAGCCGAAAGCUGCCGAAAGCUGAGCUGUUAUCCAUCAAAACUAGACAAAAGCUUGCAUUAUUCUUCCAACAGUUUUCAAUUAUGGUGAAAUCUGCACAAACAAGGUUCAAAACGACCUCUUCUGAGAAUUAUUCUGUCAAUUUCUUUCCCCUUUUAUUCAUUUUCUAAUACGCAAAGGUCUUUGGGUUGGCCCUUCUCUUUCCUCAAAUCUUCACGUUCAUCUUUCUCUUCAUCCAAAGCUUUCAUCUUCAUGUCAAUGCCACAUCCCACCAUUAAAAAAUUCAAAACUUAAAAUCUUUUCCAUUUUUUUCAGUUUUAACUCUCUCAAUUCUCGUAUUUGGUUUCGCGGUUCGCGAAAUUCAAUCUGGUCCCCGACCAUUGGGGCUCCGAUAUCCGGUCGUGGCUAGAGGCGUUCGCCGCCGAGAACCUGCUGCUGGAGGAGCUCCGGCUGAAGAGGAUGACGGUGACUGAUGAGAGUCUGGAGAUGUUGGGUGUUUGUUUUGGUGGGUUCAAAGCUCUUUCGCUUGUCAGAUGUGAUGGGUUCAGUGCUGAUGGAAAUUGUUUUUCAUAAAAAUAAUAACAAUACGAUUCAUCUGGUACAAUACUAAACAUAGCAUUAAAUAGUCAAUCUUUAGUCCGAUAUUACACCAAACGUCCAACUAAUUUAAUCAGUAUUAUCCGGUGAUUAUUUAUCUUAUCCGACUGAAAUAGUUAGCACUGUCCGAGCUACCAAACGAAGCCUAAUAGAUCUUAAUCACCAAAUACCUUGAUAAAGAAUUCAAACUCUAAUGUGGACAAAAUGAUCUACGUAUGCAAUGACAUAACAAAGCCAUUUUAGUCUUCGCCACUUUGCAGAAGAUGAAUUUAAAAAAAUAAAGAAAAAUCCCUAGUCUCAAAGUAAUAUAUUGAAUCCUUCGGCUCACUGGUUAGUAUCGACUCUCUUCAUCGAUCAUCACCAUCCAUCAUUGGAGGUUGGAGCUGCUUUGUGCAUUCUGUCAAGUCCUCAUGGAAACUAAAUCCCAUAAGCAGCUUCACAUUUUCUUCUUCCCAUAUAUGGUUCAAGGCCACUUCGUACCCCUUAUAAACAUUGCCAGACUAUUUGCUUCUCGUGGUGUUAAAUCCACCCUAAUAGCCACCCCUCUCAAUGAACCUCUCUUUUCCAAGGCAAUCCAAAGCAGCAAGAAAUUAGGCUUUGAUGUUGACAUUCUUGUCAUCAAGUUCCCAGCUGAGGAAGUAGGUUUGCCUCAAGGAUGUGAAAAUGCUAGCUUAGUUACCACCACGGAGAUGAACGAAAAGUUCAUCAAAGCCACCUUCCUUCUUCAACCACAAAUUGAGCAGAUUUUAGACAAACACCGCCCUCAUUGCCUUGUUGCAGACACGUUCUUUCCUUGGGCAACGGAAGUUGCUGCCAAGUUUGAUAUUCCCAGGAUCAUAUUUCAUGGCAUGGGUUUUUUCGCUUUGUGUGCUUCUCGUAGUGUGGCGUUGUAUGAGCCUCACGCGAAGCUGUCAUCUGAUUCAGAAGUUUUUACUAUUCCUAAUUUUCCAGUUGAGAUCAAGCUGACAAGAAGCCAAAUGCCGACUGUUCCCAAGCAAAGUCCUGAAAUCACCAAGUUGCUUAAAGAGGCGAGGGAGAGCGGGGAAAAGAGCUAUGGGUUCAUUGUUAACAGCUUUUAUGAACUUGAACCGGCUUUUGCAGAUCAUUACAGGACAGUGUUUGGGAGGAAGGCAUGGCAUAUAGGCCCGGUUUCGUCAGCCAAUAAGGCAGCAGAUGACGAAGCCACCCUUCAUCAGCACGAGUGCUUGAAUUGGCUUAAUUCUAAGAAACCCAAUUCAGUUGUUUACAUAUGUUUCGGAAGUAUGACCAAUUUCAUUGACUCUCAGCUCCUAGAAAUUGCAGCGGGGCUUGAGGCUUCUGGGCAGGAAUUCAUUUGGGUUGUGAAGAGAGAAAAGAAUGAUAAAGAAGAGUGGCUCCCCGAAGGGUUUGAGGAGAGAAUGGAAGGUAAAGGACUAAUUAUAAGAGGUUGGGCUCCGCAAGUGCUGAUUCUUGAGCACGAAGCAAUCGGAGCCUUCGUGACUCACUGCGGGUGGAACUCCAUCCUUGAAGGAGUGUCUGCUGGGGUGCCAAUGAUCACAUGGCCCGCGUCGGCUGAGCAGUUUUACAAUGAGAAGUUGGUGACUGAGGUACUGAAAACUGGGGUUGCUGUUGGUGCUAAACAAUGGGGUGCAGGUACAUUUCUGGAUGUGAAGAAGGAAGCCAGUGUGAAGAGGGAAGCCAUAGAAAAGGCUGUAAAUCAAGUAAUAGCGAGUGAAGAAGCAGAGGGAAUGAAAGGCAGAGCCAGGGUGCUUAGAGAGAUGGCAAUGAGCGCUGUUGAAGAAGGUGGUUCGUCUUUCUCAGAUUUAACUUCUCUAAUUCAGGAAUUGGGGUCCCUUGGAGCAUGAACUACUUUCGACGGAUUAAAUCAUUGUAUACAAUGGAAAAUAUAAAUCUAAAUACAUAUUUUUAAGCUCAGUAGACUUGUCUCCCAAGUCACAACUACUGAUAUAUACCAACUCUAUCAACCAGUUUCUUCAGUCAAUCUUUUGCAGUGCUAUUAUUUCUCUUCUCCGUUAUUCUCCAUCUUCUACGCAAAUUACAAAUCUCUUACUACUUGAAAUGGACGAUAAAACCAACCAACCUCACAUUUUUUUCUUCCCUUGUAUGUCACACGGCCAUAUGAUACCAACCAUAGAUAUGGGCAAACUAUUUGCUUCAAGAGGCAUCAAAACAACCGUAAUUUCCACCCCUCUUAACUUAUCUCCUUCUCCAAAACCAAUGAUGACUCGUUUAUUAAUCCGCAAUCAAAAUGAGGAGAAUUCAAUUGAGGAGAAGUUCGAUUAAGAAAGAAUUAGAAUCAGAAGGUUUUUACUAAACUGGAGUUGUAGCUUAAUUUUAGUUAAAACACAUUCACCCUUGCACCUUGAGGUCCCGAAUUAUAAGUUAAAAAUGCUUCUAUUACUCAAAGAAUUUGUAGCUCAGUUUUAGUUAAACCGCAUUCACCCUUACCCCUUGAGGUGCCAAGUUCAAUGCCAAUUCACCCUCGUCCAAUAGCAGAUGGGUAAAACCCACGGAGCAUUAACGUGCAUUACUUGAGCAUGCUACUUUGCACCUUCCUAUAUCUGAUAAAUUAAAUCCCCAGGCAGCAAAACAAACAAGGUCCAAAACACCAUCCAUAGUAAAGCCAAGUAAAGGCAUCACUGCCGGCUGACGCCAGCGUGACGUCACAUAGCCCAACACAUUGCUCAACACGUUUUGGGUCGGCCUAAAAGCUGGCUUGGAUUGGGUGCUUGCCUAUUUGGAUCGGCUGGAGGGGUUUUAAGGGGUGCUAGCCUAUUUUUCCCACUUUGGACCAUCCUAUGUGCUUGGGUUGGAGUUGCUCUUAAAGUGGCAUGUUUGGAAAAAGAUUAUUACAAUGUUGAUUUUUUCUAUAUUCUAUUAUUUAAAUAUACUAUCAAGAAAAUUUUAUUUAAAAGAAAGAUCAUAUCAACAUAAUAUAAUAAAUAGUUCGAAACAGUUUGAGUUCAAUUUUUUUAAACUCGCUCGAGAUUGGCACGUACAAGAAGCAACUUAAACUUAAAUAUAGUAGUGCUAUUCGGUUUGAGUCGACUCAUUUACAAUUCUAUAUCCAUUCGACUUUAUCAAAUAUAGGACUAAGGCUUGUUUUAUUUAUUUAUUGUUAGUCGAUUUUCAUGUUGCGUCGUUUAAGAAUUCAAUCACCAGAGAUCAAUGUAUAAAAUAUCGAUGAUAUCGGAAAUAUCGGUAGUCCAAAAAUACGGAAAUUUCGAUGGAAAUAUCGGGAUAUUAUCGAUAUCGAUAAAAAUUGAAUAAAAACCACGGAAAUUGUAAGAAAAACUUGAAAAUUUUUAUUGAAACUUUGCAGGAUGUUUAUUUAGUCAAUUAUCUAUUAGUUUAACACAAAAAAUUGGAAGGAAAUACAUUACAUAAUAGAUAUAACUGAUUUAAGUUGAUUAUAUAGCGAGCUGAUAAAUAUUGUGAGUGUAGAAAAUAUGUAGUAAUUAAUGAAAGAAGUUUAAACACACCAUAAUCAUUUAUAUAUAAUGAAUUAGUACAAUAUUUUACACUUUAUACAUUGCAUGGUAAGAUACAUGAGUGACUUAGUAAGGUCUAAAAUAUCGAUGAUAUCGGAAAUAUCGGUAGUCCAAAAAAAUAUCGGUAGUCCAAAAACACGGAAAUUUCAAUGAAAAUAUCGGAAUAUUAUAGAUAUUUUAGACCAUGCUAGAGAUACAAACUUUUAAUAGAUCUUAAUCACCAAAUACCAUGGUAAUCUUCUUUUUUUAGGGAAAUAUAAGGGCUUAAAUUAAAGAGCUAGGGUGGCUACAAUACAACCCGACAAUGAGUUUACAAAGGCUUUGAGUAGUGCGAGAUAGGCUAAUCACCAGAUUGCUCUGGAAUAGAUGAAUCGACGUGUCGGUUUGGGGUAUGGUCAGUUCACUAGGAGGAUCAUCCUCCAAAUUCGAAGUUUUUUCCUGAAAAUUUCAACCUUGUUAACUAUGACAACAAUCGCGACUAUAAUCAAACUCGUGAUUAUAGGAGGGCUGCUCAUGUCACAUCACUAUUCGUGGAUUCGGGCAAUGUGACAGGUUCACCCAAUAAUUCAAACUCAAAUGUGGACAAAAUGAUCUACGUAUGCAAUGACAUAACAAAGCCAUUUUAGUCUUUGCCACUUGGCAGAACUUGAAUUUAAAAAAAAAGAAACAAAUCGUUAAAUCCCAAGUCUCAAAGUAAUAUAUUGAAUCUUUCAGCUCACUGGUUAGUAUCAACUCUCUUCAUCAAUCAUCACCAUCCAUUAUUGGAGGUUGGAGCUUUUUUUUGCAUUCUGUCUAGUCCCCAUGGAAACUAAAUCCCAUAUGCAGCUUCACAUUUUCUUCUUCCCAUAUAUGAUUCAAGGCCACUUCAUACCCCUUAUAAACAUGGCCAAACUAUUUGCUUCUCGUGGUGUAAAAUCCACCCUAAUAACCACCCCUCUCAAUGCACCUCUCUUUUCCAAGGCAAUCCAAAGCAGCAAGAAAUUGGGAUUUGAUGUUGACAUUCUUGUCAUCAAGUUCCCAACUGAGGAAGUAGGGUUGCCUCAAGGAUGUGAAAAUGCUAACUUAGCUACCACCAGGGAGAUGAACGAAAAAUUCAUCAAAGCCACCUUCCUUCUUCAACCACAAAUUGAGCAGAUUUUAUACGAACACCGCCCUCAUUGCCUUGUUGCAGACAAUUUCUUUCCUUGGGCAACAGAUGUUGCUGCCAAGUUUGGUAUUCCAAGGAUCAUAUUUCAAGGCCUCGGUUUUUUCGCUU